AUCCAGCUGACGAGUCCCAGAUAGGACGAAGGUCACGCCCUGGAU
Molecule: non-coding RNA, 45 nt
Filed under: Schistosoma curassoni
Lineage: Eukaryota; Metazoa; Platyhelminthes; Trematoda; Strigeidida; Schistosomatidae
Source: RNAcentral